This 77-nucleotide transfer RNA is filed under the name Mogibacterium sp. Its description in RNAcentral is "tRNA-Met". It matches the Rfam family "tRNA". Rfam says of the family: Transfer RNA (tRNA) molecules are approximately 80 nucleotides in length. Their secondary structure includes four short double-helical elements and three loops (D, anti-codon, and T loops). The record is from RNAcentral. RNAcentral also lists the same sequence under 1 other name. Lineage: Bacteria; Bacillati; Bacillota; Clostridia; Peptostreptococcales; Anaerovoracaceae.
GGCGGCGUAGCUUAGCUGGCUAUAGCGUUCGGUUCAUACCCGAAAGGUCAGUGGUUCGAGUCCACUCGCCGCCACCA